RNAcentral lists this ribosomal RNA (393 nucleotides) under uncultured bacterium. RNAcentral describes it as "partial 16S ribosomal RNA". It matches the Rfam family "Bacterial small subunit ribosomal RNA", at positions 523 to 918 of the family's 1533-position model. The record is from RNAcentral.
AUACGGAGGAUGCGAGCGUUAUCCGGAUCUAUUGGGUUUAAAGGGUGCGUAGGCGGAAAGUUAAGUCAGCGGUGAAACGCAGGUGCUCAACACCUGACCUGCCGUUGAGACUGGUUUUCUGGAAUGCGGAUGCUGUGGGAGGAAUGUGUGGUGUAGCGGUGAAAUGCAUAGAUAUCACACAGAACACCGAUUGCGAAGGCAUCUCACAAAUCCGCUAUUGACGCUGAGGCACGAAGGUGCGGGGAUCGAACAGGAUUAGAUACCCUGGUAGUCCGCACAGUAAACGAUGAUGACUCGCUGUCGGCGAUAGACAGUCGGUGGCCAAGCGAAAGCGAUAAGUCAUCCACCUGGGGAGUACGACCGCAAGGUUGAAACUCAAAGGAAUUGACGGGG